UGAGUAACGCGUAUGCAACCUACCGUAUCGAGAGGGGAAUAACCCGGCGAAAGUCGGACUAAUACCGCAGUAAAACAGGGGCACCGCAUGGUGAUAUUUGUUAAAGAAAUUCGCUGAUAGAUGGGCAUGCGUUCCAUUAGGUAGUGGUGAGGUAACGGCUCACCAAGCCGACGAUGGAUAGGGGAACUGAGAGGUUGGUCCCCCACACUGGUACUGAGACACGGACCAGACUCCUACGGGAGGCAGCAGUGAGGAAUAUUGGUCAAUGGGCGAGAGCCUGAACCAGCCAAGUCGCGUGGAAGGAAGAAGGAUCUAUGGUUCGUAAACUUCUUUUGCAGGGGAAUAAAGUGCAGGACGUGUCCUGUUUUGUAUGUACCCUGAGAAUAAGGAUCGGCUAACUCCGUGCCAGCCGCCGC
This 416-nucleotide ribosomal RNA is filed under the name uncultured bacterium. Its description in RNAcentral is "bacterial SSU rRNA". It matches the Rfam family "Bacterial small subunit ribosomal RNA", at positions 107 to 518 of the family's 1533-position model. The record is from RNAcentral.